This 388-nucleotide ribosomal RNA is filed under the name uncultured bacterium. RNAcentral's name for it is "bacterial SSU rRNA". It matches the Rfam family "Bacterial small subunit ribosomal RNA", at positions 30 to 420 of the family's 1533-position model. The record is from RNAcentral.
AUUGAACGCUGGCGGCAUGCCUUACACAUGUAAGUCGAACGGCAGCGGACCUUCGGGUGCCGGCGAGUGGCGAACGGGUGAGUAAUAUAUCGGAACGUACCUUUCAGUGGGGGAUAACGUAGCGAAAGUUACGCUAAUACCGCAUAUUCUGUGAGCAGGAAAGCAGGGGAUCGCAAGACCUUGCGCUGAUUGAGCGGCCGAUAUCAGAUUAGCUAGUUGGUGAGGUAAAGGCUCACCAAGGCGACGAUCUGUAGCGGGUCUGAGAGGAUGAUCCGCCACACUGGAACCGAGACACGGUCCAGACUCCUACGGGAGGCAGCAGUGGGGAAUUUUGGACAAUGGGCGCAAGCCUGAUCCAGCCAUGCCGCGUGAGUGAAGAAGGCCUCGG